UAAGGAAUAUUGGUCAAUGGACGCAAGUCUGAACCAGCCAUGCCGCGUGAGUGACGAAGGCCUUAGGGUUGCAAAGCUCUUUUGGCGGGGACGAUAAUGACGGUACCCGCAGAAUAAGCCCCGGCUAACUUCGUGCCAGCAGCCGCGGUAAUACGAAGGGGGCUAGCGUUGUUCGGAAUCACUGGGCGUAAAGCGCACGUAGGCGGACUUUCAAGUCAGGGGUGAAAUCCCGGGGCUCAACCUCGGAACUGCCUUUGAUACUGUUGGUCUCGAGUCCGGAAGAGGUGGGUGGAAUUCCUAGUGUAGAGGUGAAAUUCGUAGAUAUUAGGAAGAACACCGGUGGCGAAGGCGGCCCACUGGUCCGGUACUGACGCUGAGGUGCGAAAGCGUGGGGAGCAAACA
Molecule: ribosomal RNA, 402 nt
Filed under: uncultured bacterium
Lineage: Bacteria
Description: bacterial SSU rRNA
Rfam family: Bacterial small subunit ribosomal RNA
Source: RNAcentral